This 347-nucleotide unclassified non-coding RNA is filed under the name soil metagenome. RNAcentral describes it as "partial contains 5.8S ribosomal RNA, internal transcribed spacer 2, and large subunit ribosomal RNA". The stretch from base 1 to 120 matches the Rfam family "5.8S ribosomal RNA", at positions 35 to 154 of the family's 154-position model. The record is from RNAcentral.
GAUGAAGAACGCAGCGAAAUGCGAUAAGUAGUGUGAAUUGCAGAAUUCAGUGAAUCAUCGAAUCUUUGAACGCACAUUGCGCCCCCUGGUAUUCCGGGGGGCAUGCCUGUCCGAGCGUCAUUGCUGCCCUCAAGCACGGCUUGUGUGUUGGGCUUCCGUCCCUGGCAACGGGGACGGGCCCAAAAGGCAGUGGCGGCACCAUGUCUGGUCCUCGAGCGUAUGGGGCUUUGUCACCCGCUCCCGUAGGUCCAGCUGGCAGCUAGCCUCGCAACCAAUCUUUUUAACCAGGUUGACCUCGGAUCAGGUAGGGAUACCCGCUGAACUUAAGCAUAUCAAUAAGCGGAGGA